CACAAGCGGUGGAUGAUGUGGAUUAAUUCGAUGCAACGCGAAGAACCUUACCUACCCUUGACAUGUCCGGAACUUGCCAGAGAUGGCUUGGUGCCCGAAAGGGAAUCGGAACACAGGUGCUGCAUGGCUGUCGUCAGCUCGUGUCGUGAGAUGUUGGGUUAAGUCCCGCAACGAGCGCAACCCUUAUCAUUAGUUGCUACGCAGGGGCACUCUAAUGAGACUGCCGGUGACAAACCGGAGGAAGGUGGGGAUGACGUCAAGUCCUCAUGGCCCUUAUGGGUAGGGCUUCACACGUCAUACAAUGGUCGGUACAGAGGGUUGCCAAGCCGCGAGGCGGAGCCAGUCCCACAAAGCCGAUCGUAGUCCGGAUUGUUCUCUGCAACUCGAGAGCAUGAAGUCGGAAUCGCUAGUAAUCGCAGGUCAGCAUACUGCGGUGAAUACGUUCCCGGGUCUU
RNAcentral lists this ribosomal RNA (454 nucleotides) under uncultured Thiobacillus sp. RNAcentral's name for it is "bacterial SSU rRNA". It matches the Rfam family "Bacterial small subunit ribosomal RNA", at positions 924 to 1382 of the family's 1533-position model. The record is from RNAcentral. Lineage: Bacteria; Pseudomonadati; Pseudomonadota; Betaproteobacteria; Nitrosomonadales; Thiobacillaceae.